This 580-nucleotide ribosomal RNA is filed under the name uncultured beta proteobacterium. RNAcentral's name for it is "bacterial SSU rRNA". It matches the Rfam family "Bacterial small subunit ribosomal RNA", at positions 164 to 737 of the family's 1533-position model. The record is from RNAcentral. Lineage: Bacteria; Pseudomonadati; Pseudomonadota; Betaproteobacteria.
UAAUACCGCAUAUGAUCUACGGAUGAAAGCGGGGGAUCGCAAGACCUCGCGCGAUUGGAGCGGCCGAUAUCAGAUUAGCUAGUUUGGUGGGGUAAAAGCCCACCAAGGCGACGAUCUGUAGNUGGUCUGAGAGGACGACCAGCCACACUGGAACUGAGACACGGUCCGGACUCCUACGGGAGGCAGCAGUGGGGAAUUUUGGACAAUGGGCGAAAGCCUGAUCCAGCAAUGCCGCGUGCAGGACGAAGGCCUUCGGGUUGUAAACUGCUUUUGUACGGAACGAAACGGUCUCUUCUAAUAAAGGGGGCUAAUGACGGUACCGUAAGAAUAAGCACCGGCUAACUACGUGCCAGCAGCCGCGGUAAUACGUAGGGUGCAAGCGUUAAUCGGAAUUACUGGGCGUAAAGCGUGCGCAGGCGGUUAUAUAAGACAGAUGUGAAAUCCCCGGGCUCAACCUGGGACCUGCAUUUGUGACUGUAUAGCUAGAGUACGGUAGAGGGGGAUGGAAUUUCCGCGUGUAGCAGUGAAAUGCGUAGAUAUGCGGAGGAACACCGAUGGCGAAGGCAAUCCCCUGGACCUG